RNAcentral lists this long non-coding RNA (8337 nucleotides) under Coffea arabica (coffee). Its description in RNAcentral is "long non-coding RNA (CARA_LNC001437)". The record is from RNAcentral. Lineage: Eukaryota; Viridiplantae; Streptophyta; Magnoliopsida; Gentianales; Rubiaceae.
AACCAACCAACAAAACACACCCAGUUACAUUACCAUGGCAGCUCCAAACCAAAUUUUCAAAAAAUGGUGUAACGGUAACACAGAACUCUCAAUUUUAAAAAUGAACAAACUAGUGACGAAAGCUCGCCUGCUCGUCGAAAGGUUUCGUUAAGGUGUAUAUGUAGCCGCAGUCGAGACAUAUAUGAGUUGCUCGAUCCUGGAAGAUUAGAAAUAUCAGUCAGGCGGGGUUGCUGGGAAUGAAACUCACGGAGGAGCCAUAGCAUACCAAUUAACCAAUUUAUACAUUCAGCCUUGCCUUCUGAGCGUCGGUUAACUUCCGUCCAAAUCGAGGUGGUGCCGGCCGCUUCUGCAGCCUUUUGACGUCCACAUCAGCUCCUCUGCAUCCCCCAAAAAAAAAAGAAAAAAUGAUUUGACAAAAUGAAUAACAAAAUAUUUUCCUGAAUGUACACGUUUCUUUGCAGCCAACUGGGAUGAUCAGACAUCUCACAAAAACUACACCGACUCAGGAAGAUGACGCUGCGUCCACAAUCUGAAGAUGGGAAGGUGCUUACCAACACCAUCAAGCAAGCAACGGAGUACUUCUGAAUUAUAUUUGAUGUUUGUCAAGGCCCAAAGGGUUCAGAUAUUAGGAAGGCACUUUUCCCUAUCAUUACAAUGAUCAUACAUACAGGCUAAAAGUGGAACAUCUCCCAAGGAGGCCAGAAAAUGAAACGGGUCAUUCAUAUAAUACUCUGCCGUCAGCAAUUCUUCGAAAGAAUUAAUCUGUACCACUACCAAAUUAAGCUAUGGCCCAAAAUAUCUUGUAAAUUCCAGAGUCAGAGUGGGGUUAAAAUCCAAACCCAAAUUUUGCAUGUAAAAUUAAUGAGCAAAGCAAAAGAAGAGCUUGCCUGCUGAUUACAAAGUAGACGGAAUCUUGCUUCGCCUGAAGAGCGGUUUUGGUAAAUCCAAGCUUAUCAGCAGGCCAAAGUUCAUCCCCAAAGAAGCUGCUUGUGUAGAGGACCUGGUCGCCAACCUUGAGCCCUGCUCUUGCAGCGUUGCCACCACCUUCUACUCCCUGAUACCAACCAACUUGAAGUUAGCAGUAGACAAUUGGCAUCAAACGAAAAUUCUAUCGGCCGGUUUUUGACAAGGACGUAAGAGGGGAGGGGAGCGAGGACUGACCGCGAUGACCACACCACCACCCGACUUUUGACCCAAGGUUAGGCCCAGCGGUUUGUCUACUUCAACCUCGAUGGUCCUUGAAGCCCCAGCAGUUCUUGCUGUAAUCUCAAGACCUCUUCUUUCUUUUCUGCCGGUACUAGCAGUACUGAUCUCAGCCAUGAAAGAAGUUGAAACUCCCCAUUUGGCCUCUUGAAGCGAAAGCCCUUGGAUGCUGGAUUUCUGCCAGCACCAACACCAGAAAUUUAUCAGUAAUACUGACAGCAAUUAUGUACAAAGAAGUUGAAGCAGAAUUAGGGUAUACUUUUAACCAUAUAUACCUGGGAGUGGGGAGUUAGCAGCUUUGCAUUUGCAGAUGGAAUUGAGGAGUUGGAUUUGAAGGAGAGGUUUCUUGCAUAAGCAGCUGAGCAAGAAGAGGAAGCACCCGUUACGACAGAGGAUGACAUAUCGGAGGGGUGCUGGGCUUUGAUCUAUAGGCAGCGGUCACCGGCGAUGAAUCAGGACUUAGAACUAGAAGAAGGGCUGGGCUGGGCUGGGAGAAAUUUUGUAGUGCCCGUCUCCUUUAGCAACAUUAUCCAUCGGUCUUGGUUGGUUGGGAAUUUUGUGGACGAUAUAACACUCGUCCAAAGUCCGAAUUUGGACGACGUGCCUCUCCUAGGAAGGACAUGGACAUUUUAUGCUGUAUUUGGACUGCAAUUUUUUAAAGAAAAAUUACUAUAUUUUUUAUGAAUUUUUUUAAAUUAAUUUUUUAUUUUAUAUAUAUUAAAUUAUUACAGUAAUUUUUUUUUAUAUAAAAUUUAAAAAAAUGCAAUCCAAACAAAUCUUAAAUUAUUAAUAAAUGAAGACACAUGUGAUAUAUGCAUUGCAUUGCAUCAUAUAGAAAUAAUUCACUGUUGAAGAGCCAAGUGCCCAGAGUCCACCCUCAUUGCUCCAAAUAAUUAAAACUAACAGACCAAGAGAGCCACUGCCUGCAAAUCGAGGAGAAAAAAAAAAACAGACACCCGUAUAAAAAGAAAAAAAAUUGUGAUAAUUUUGUGUAUAUGAAUAAAAAAAUAAUUAGAAAAAUAUGCUUCACAAAAAAUAUAAAAACUUUUCUAUGGAAAAUUGUUUGGGUAUAAGGAAGUCACGUCUUGGUUAUCCAAAGGAUCACCUUCCUGUGUGGCAUGCAAAAAAGGCACACAAUGAUGAUUCUUUGACAGUUAGCCAGUUAUUUGAAAUAUAUCAAAAUACAUAGAAGGAUGACAAUUGCCCCAUAAAAAGGGAUGGGACAAAGUCUCAAUUUGAUCAUCUAAAAUAAUAAAAUAGUUCCAACUUCGUUGUUCAAACCUACUUGAUUAAUAACUAUAGGAAAAAAGCGGACUUUAAAAGACAAAAAUCAUAAAAGAUUUUUUUAUCAUUCUACUGAAACAUUUCUUACUUUAGUGAUUUCAAUCAGAUAAGUGUCUUCAUUUUUUGAGAUAAAUUAGUGUACUUUUUUUUUUUUUUUUGAAUUAUAGUUCCAUGAACCCUCUAAAUUGCUUUAUAUCUGUAAUCUGAUUGGUAAUUCCAUUUUACCCUCCCAUCUUUCUUUACGUCCUUCUCACCUCUACAUGCCAGGUACAGAGUUCGAAUUUUAAAUUUAGCAGUAAAAAAAAACUUUAAAAAUUUUCCCUGACCACUGAGACGACUUCCAUUGGUUUAUUUGUAAUGUUUUUAAGAAAGUGAACUUGUAAAAAAUUUUCUGAUUUGGGAGGUGUAAAUUGAGAAAUUUUCAAUUUAAGGGACCAAAUUGAGAAUUUUUGCUACCGUGGGGAGCAAAAAAAAAAAAAAAUUUCGAGAUUGAGAAAACAAACGGAGAUGUCUCGCUACUCUAGACAAUCUAAUUGAGACUUUUACAAUGUAAGGGCCCAAAUGGAGAUUUUAAACAAAUUUGAAGGACCAAAAUGGAAUUAAAUUCUAUCUUAAAUCAUUGUAUUAAUCCAUUCGUUCAUAGAAGACGUCACUACCUGCUUGAUUGCCUGCUCGAUGACAAUGGCUGUGCCCCAAAUCCAAACUUCACCGCUUAAGCAUGAACUUUAGUAGUAGUCUUAUUAAACCAGAAAAAAAAAAAAAAAGAGCCAAUUACGUAUUAAGCGUGUCUCAUGCAGGCGAUCCGUUGGUCAGGACCCAGGUCCGUCAUGCUCGCCCAGGAAGGGAAGGAACUAAAAAAAAAAAUGGAGGCGAUUUCGACUCCCACAAUCCCCGCCUGGAAUCCUCUUAUACUUGUAUUGGUCCUCUGGAGAAUCUCGUCUCGUUCAUGUACCGUUCAUUUUCGAUACCACCUUACGGCACGCGAUGCGCUAGGCUACCCUUUUCUAUCAAGUUAUCGCAAAUUUAAUGAACAGUUGUCCAUCUAACCGGAUGGAGAACGAGCACCCUUGCUUGGCACUGAUGAAGAGUCACUAGUCGCUCGUAUAUAUAUAUAUAUAUAUAUAUAUUUUUUUUAAUGCUUAAACUCUAUCACUUAAAGAGCAGAAAGAAUUUUAAAAGCACUAUCCUGACCACUAAACCAGCAUUAGUAGUUAAACUAAUAUAGUGGAGUACUUGGUACUUACUACGUUGGAAUAAAAUGGUAGUUUAAGGAUAAGACUCCACUUCUCAAGUCAAUUUUUUGAUGAUAUUUCAUUCCAGUUGAGAAAGGUAAAAAUUAGCCUAUUAUUCUAAAAUUCUUGUGGCAUUAAAAAAAUUCGAACUUUAGCAAAUAUCACCAUCCCAUCAGAAUAUAAUUUUUGGGUUAAAUACCAAAAAUCCCCCUGUGGUUUGCCUAAUGUUCACUUUAUCUCCCUAUGGUUUGGAAACCUACAAUUUGACUCCCUGUCGCUUCAACUAAAGUGUAUUUAACGGAAUUUAUGUUAGAUUUUCACUUUAGGUGAAACGAUAGGGAGUUAAAUUGUAUAUUUUCAAACCAUAGGGAGGUAAAGUGUACAUUAGACAAACCACAGGGAGUUUUUGGUACUUAACCCAAAACCCUUAUAGAUGGGCAAUUUUGACAUUUUCCUUUCAGACGUUAGUUUAAAUGUUUUCCGUUAGACUUUUACUUUAGUUGAAACUACAGGGAGUCAAAUUGUAGGUUUCCAAACCAUAGGGAGGUAAAGUAAAACAUUAGACAAAUCACAGGGGGGUUUUUGAUAUUUAACCCAUAAUUUUUUGUAUCACUAAUUACUAAUAAUCAGACCCCGCUGGUAGUUUCGUAACCUGAGCAGGUUUCGUGAUUGACCUCCGUGUGCUAUGUCACGCGUGUAUUUUUGGGAUAAAACUGUAUACAACUUUAGAUGAUUAGUCUGGUCGAAAUGUUUGAAUACCCUUAAGUGAGAAUGGGGAAAAAAAUUACUAAUGAUUAGCAAGAGAAAAAUGAAUGUAUAAUCUGGCGACACUUCAAACCUCCAAUAUAUACAUUUACAAUAACUGAAGACAAUUUUCUUAUCAAUCAAAAAAAUAUAUAUAUAAAAAAAGGGAAGGAUAGGACAAAGUUUAGUGUGCUCGAGCUCUCUAUCCAGGCCUCAAAACUGCUUCAAACAAUUUAAGGAUCCAGGGCACACCUAAUAAAGUAGGUAUACACUUGCAACUAGCAGACCGCUUUGGCCCGCCUAUUUUUUUCGGAUACUUAAAUUACGGGUAUCCGAAAAUAUUAGAAGCGGGUUAGGGUCGCAAAAUGAUCGAUUCGAUAUUUUAGGAUCGGGUCAGUUAAAUCUUAUUAGAGACGGAUACCCGACUCGUGCUUACCCCUAAUUAGAAGUAAUCAGUUCAAAAAAAAUUGUACUUUAUCUUCUUCCAAACGUGAUAUUUGGAAUUACAAGCCAAUUACAUACUGUCGGACCAGCAAAGCCAACACCUUUCGUUUCGUGCAAACAUUUUGUUGAAUGUUGACCCGUCCUACUUAUAAAAUUGCCAAACGAGGGAUGAUUUGACGAGGACGAGGGCAGGACGACGCCGCACCGCCACCCACAUCAAUCUCCUUAAACCUUUUGACGAUGCCGAUAUUUCGUUACAUCGAGAUUCUAGAUGCCAAAUCAAGACAAAAAAAGACUUCCAGCUAGUACUCUACGCAAAGAUUAAGCAAGCAUUUUCUGGAUUUUACCCAUUACUUAAUCAAGACUUAAUAUACUUUCAAUAAAAGACAAAAAAAAAAAAGAGAGAUUUGAGAAUUUUACCAAUAUAUUUUCAAAAUCACCGUAAAUUUUUGCAGGAGUAAAUAAUCAAGAGAAGGCGUGUGAAGGUGGUGGGAUUCGUAAAUGGGGAGAUCCUAAUAAGACGUUGGGCGGCGGGGCGGCUUUUUUAAAAAAAGUUUUAAUUUUAGGAGGUCCAAUGCGUGUGAGGAAUGAUAGAAUAGAAUAUUUAGUAGCAGGCUUUUGCUAGCACUUGGCCACCUCACCAUACCACAGCAUAAAAUAGGAUCGUUAUUACGAAAAAAAUAAUAAUAUUGCUGAUUGCUAGCAACUUUCAUCGCAUCAAUUUAGCCCAAUUUCCCAUUACAUUCCGUUUUUUUAAUUGCUGAUUACUGUUCAGAUCCAACGGAGGAGUACUCAUGCGUUGAAGAUUUACUCUCAAAUAUUUAGUUUUUAUUAAAUACAAAACCUAUCAGUUUUCCUUCCGUAAAAAUAUUAAUGUAAUAUUUUUUCAAUUUUAGUUACAAACAUUCAUGUAUUUAACAUAAAUUAAAUGAUUCAGAAUAAAAUGUUCAUAAAGAGCCAAUACUUUACUCAUCUAAUGGAUGAAAGUCAUAAAAAAUUAAUACUUUAUGGGUCAUUUUUUUAAAAAAAAUAUUUAAUUUAUAUUAAAUAGAUAACCUAUCGAUUUUCUUUUUGUAAGAAUAUUGCUGUAAUAUUUUUUGAAUUUUACUUACAAAUAUUAAUAUAUUUAUCAUUGAUAUAUUUAUUAUAAAUUAAAUAUUUGAAAGUAAAAAAAAAAUACCCAUAAAUAGUCGGUACUUUAAAUAGGUAAUGCGUACUUGCCCAUAAACUACACCCCUUAAAGUUUAUUAAUUGUUAAUUGAUUUGUAGUACUCUGUCAUUCAUUGAACAUGUAGUACAAGGAGCAAAUCUGGUACAAAAUUCUAAUUUCACUCCCUAAAGCAAUAUAUUUUAAUAGUUUGGACUGAAUUUGCAAAUGAUUAGUAAGUUCAGGGGAGGUCAGUGCAAUUUUUUAAACUAUAGGGGAGAUCAGUGCGAGUGUCAGAAACCUUAGGGAAGGUUUCUGCAAUUAUCCCAUAAUAUAAUAUACUCCUAGGCCCUAGCAGCGGUCAAAAUCACCAGCAGCAUCUGUCACCGAAGAAAGUAGAUUCCGUUAGUUAGUUGACGGUGGAGUGAGAAUUGAUGCGGUGGUCCAAGAAACUAAAUGCUACUACCGGUACUGGUACGGUACCCACCCGUACGCAGUCCUACGCGUAGGAGGUGAUGGUGGGGUAGGCAAGGCAAAACCCUGUUCCCCGCAUUUUGAGCAUGACUCCUCUAUCACUCCCAUACGCUAGCGAGCACUUGUUCGGAAAGUAGAUUAUUUAAAAUAAAUUUUUUGCCCUAUUCUAAUAUUCUAUGCUAAUUGCAGAUCAGUGAGUAAUAGGCCCACCGGCACCGGGGACUCGGACCCAAACCUUAUGCAUAUUUUUGUUUGUUCAUUUUACUCUCUCAGGGACACCUCCAAUUUUAACCGUCACCGCCCACGGUCUGUCAUAGAAAGUUUGGUUUGACUGCCAGUGCCAAUCAAAUUCAAGGGGAUAAACCAUAAAGUGAGAGGAAGUUGUCGUGGUGAUUAAAUCCCUUUAGCCUAAAUCUAAAAGGCUUUUAUAAUUUACAUCACCGCCUUCGCCCGUCACCUGCUCCCCACUCACCCCCACCAAAAUUCUCUCUCUAUAAAAGGUCUCUCCUUCCAUUUCCAUCGCUCCCUCCACAGCUCCGUGUUGCCCUUUUACUUCAUUCUCAAUCUCUCACAUCCUUUCUCAGCUGUCUGCUUCAAAUGAAACACGCACCAAAUCGAUUCCACAACAAAUCGUCAGGCAGGGAGCGAGAGGGGUGGCCGGGGAAGAGGGUCGGAUAAAUCUUUUUCCUUUACAAAAAAAAAUAGGAGUAUAUAUAUAAAUAAAAGUGACAGAAAAAAUCCAUUUUUUAUUGGAGUCCAUACGCCAAUAAUGCUCCAACACCGCCUAUGCCGGCUAUAAGCCCAAGGAUAACACCAAUGGGCAGCCCUCCGCCGACUGCUUUUCCGGUGGUCACGUCAUACCUCGCAAACCUCUUCUUCGGCGCCCUGCAUUGUGGGCAUGCAUAAUCAUCCGGCUGCAACCAACCAACAAAACACACCCAGUUACAUUACCAUGGCAGCUCCAAACCAAAUUUUCAAAAAAUGGUGUAACGGUAACACAGAACUCUCAAUUUUAAAAAUGAACAAACUAGUGACGAAAGCUCGCCUGCUCGUCGAAAGGUUUCGUUAAGGUGUAUAUGUAGCCGCAGUCGAGACAUAUAUGAGUUGCUCGAUCCUGGAAGAUUAGAAAUAUCAGUCAGGCGGGGUUGCUGGGAAUGAAACUCACGGAGGAGCCAUAGCAUACCAAUUAACCAAUUUAUACAUUCAGCCUUGCCUUCUGAGCGUCGGUUAACUUCCGUCCAAAUCGAGGUGGUGCCGGCCGCUUCUGCAGCCUUUUGACGUCCACAUCAGCUCCUCUGCAUCCCCCAAAAAAAAAAGAAAAAAUGAUUUGACAAAAUGAAUAACAAAAUAUUUUCCUGAAUGUACACGUUUCUUUGCAGCCAACUGGGAUGAUCAGACAUCUCACAAAAACUACACCGACUCAGGAAGAUGACGCUGCGUCCACAAUCUGAAGAUGGGAAGGUGCUUACCAACACCAUCAAGCAAGCAACGGAGUACUUCUGAAUUAUAUUUGAUGUUUGUCAAGGCCCAAAGGGUUCAGAUAUUAGGAAGGCACUUUUCCCUAUCAUUACAAUGAUCAUACAUACAGGCUAAAAGUGGAACAUCUCCCAAGGAGGCCAGAAAAUGAAACGGGUCAUUCAUAUAAUACUCUGCCGUCAGCAAUUCUUCGAAAGAAUUAAUCUGUACCACUACCAAAUUAAGCUAUGGCCCAAAAUAUCUUGUAAAUUCCAGAGUCAGAGUGGGGUUAAAAUCCAAACCCAAAUUUUGCAUGUAAAAUUAAUGAGCAAAGCAAAAGAAGAGCUUGCCUGC